Molecule: ribosomal RNA, 482 nt
Filed under: uncultured bacterium
Lineage: Bacteria
Description: partial 16S ribosomal RNA
Rfam family: Bacterial small subunit ribosomal RNA
Source: RNAcentral
GAUGAACGCUAGCGGCAGGCCUAAUACAUGCAAGUCGGACGGGAUUCAGGAGCUUGCUUCUGAUGAGAGUGGCGCACGGGUGCGUAACACGUAUGUAACCUACCUUUAUCAGGGGGAUAGCCUCUCGAAAGAGAGAUUAAGCCCGCAUAAAAUCACAGCACAGCAUUGUGUAAUGAUCAAAUAUUUAUAGGAUAAAGAUGGGCAUGCGGAACAUUAGCUAGAUGGCGGGGUAACGGCCCACCAUGGCGACGAUGUUUAGGGGAUCUGAGAGGAUGGCCCCCCACACUGGUACUGAGACACGGACCAGACUCCUACGGGAGGCAGCAGUAAGGAAUAUUGGUCAAUGGGCGGAAGCCUGAACCAGCCAUGCCGCGUGCAGGAAGACGGCCCUACGGGUUGUAAACUGCUUUUAUACGGGAAUAAACCCAGAUACGUGUAUCUGGCUGAGUGUACUGUAAGAAUAAGGAUCGGCUAACUCCGUG